RNAcentral lists this ribosomal RNA (402 nucleotides) under uncultured bacterium. RNAcentral's name for it is "bacterial SSU rRNA". It matches the Rfam family "Bacterial small subunit ribosomal RNA", at positions 355 to 774 of the family's 1533-position model. The record is from RNAcentral.
UGGGGAAUAUUGGACAAUGGGCGAAAGCCUGAUCCAGCAAUACCGAGUGAGUGAUGAAGGCCCUAGGGUUGUAAAGCUCCUUUAGCAAGGAAGAUAAUGACGUUACUUGCAGAAAAAGCCCCGGCUAACUCCGUGCCAGCAGCCGCGGUAAGACGGAGGGGGCUAGCGUUGUUCGGAAUUACUGGGCGUAAAGAGUGCGUAGGCGGUUUAGUAAGUUGGAAGUGAAAGCCCGGGGCUUAACCUCGGAAUUGCUUUCAAAACUACUAAUCUAGAGUGUAGUAGGGGAUGAUGGAAUUCCUAGUGUAGAGGUGAAAUUCUUAGAUAUUAGGAGGAACACCGGUGGCGAAGGCGGUCAUCUGGGCUACAACUGACGCUGAUGCACGAAAGCGUGGGGAGCAAACA